This 303-nucleotide ribosomal RNA is filed under the name uncultured bacterium. RNAcentral describes it as "partial 16S ribosomal RNA". It matches the Rfam family "Bacterial small subunit ribosomal RNA", at positions 507 to 807 of the family's 1533-position model. The record is from RNAcentral.
AGCAGUAGCCGCGGUAAUGCGGAGGGUGCAAGUGUUAAUCGGAAUUACUGGGCGUAAAGCGCACGCAGGCGGUUUGUUAAGUCAGAUGUGAAAUCCCCGAGCUUAACUUGGGAACUGCAUUUGAAACUGGCAAGCUAGAGUGUGUCAGAGGAUGGUGGAAUUCCCGGUGUAGCGGUGAAAUGCGUAGAGAUCUGGAGGAAUACCGGUGGCGAAGGCGGCCAUCUGGGACAACACUGACGCUGAAGCACGAAAGCGUGGGGAGCAAACAGGAUUAGAUACCCCGGUAGUCCCUGUCUCUUAUAC